RNAcentral lists this transfer RNA (73 nucleotides) under Ailuropoda melanoleuca (giant panda). It matches the Rfam family "tRNA". From Rfam's summary of the family: Transfer RNA (tRNA) molecules are approximately 80 nucleotides in length. Their secondary structure includes four short double-helical elements and three loops (D, anti-codon, and T loops). The record is from Rfam by way of RNAcentral. Lineage: Eukaryota; Metazoa; Chordata; Mammalia; Carnivora; Ursidae.
ACCUGGCUGGCUCAGUUGGUAGAGCAUGUGAUUCUUGAUCUCAGGGUUGUGAGUUUGAGCCACACAUUGGGUA